Molecule: long non-coding RNA, 352 nt
Filed under: Triticum aestivum (bread wheat)
Lineage: Eukaryota; Viridiplantae; Streptophyta; Magnoliopsida; Poales; Poaceae
Description: long non-coding RNA (TAES_LNC003072)
Source: RNAcentral
CUGAAAGAGGUCAAGUGCUAAUGGCACAGUAUGCUAAAAUCUUUGGGGUCGUCAGUAUUUUUGCUCUGCUCUAUGUAUGGUUGUCAGUCGACUCUCCAAUGUUGGUGUCAGUAACUAUCAGAUGUUAAGUGUCUCGAAAACUUUCUGAUAAUUGUGGUAUUUGCUUUGUAAUGGUAAUCGUGAAAUUGGUGUGGUUGUGUUUUGGUCAAUGCCUCGGCUUUUACUCAAUAGUUGAAACAAGAGAUUUUGCCCUGUGAUUCUAUCAGAUUAUCUUGUGUCUUUUGUAACACAGCAAAUGAGCAAAGCAAAAUGAUCAAUCAUCGUUUGAUAAGAAUCAUUUGAAAUCAAGAAC